CGUUUCCUUGCUGGAGAGAGACGGCCCGCCCCGCACCGACGGAAUGGCGGAAUCGUCCACCGAAGGAGCAAACCCCGAUCGUGGGGUGAAUCUCUCAGGUAAAGCGGACAGCAGGGGUGGC
RNAcentral lists this non-coding RNA (121 nucleotides) under Variovorax sp. Its description in RNAcentral is "Glycine sequence". It matches the Rfam family "Glycine riboswitch aptamer". From Rfam's summary of the family: This family represents the bacterial glycine riboswitch. Lineage: Bacteria; Pseudomonadati; Pseudomonadota; Betaproteobacteria; Burkholderiales; Comamonadaceae. The record is from RNAcentral.